AGUGCUCUUCUGAUCUACCAUGCAUGUCUAAGUACGCAAGGCCGGUACAGUGAAACUGCGAAUGGCUCAAUAAAUCAGUUAUGGUUCCUUUGGUCGCUCGCUCCUCUCCUACUUGGAUAACUGUGGUAAUUCUAGAGCUAAUACAUGCCGACGGGCGCUGACCCCCCUCGCGGGGGGGAUGCGUGCAUUUAUCAGAUCAAAACCAACCCGGUCAGCCUCCCCUCGGCCCCUCGCGGGCCGUGGGGCGGGCGCCGGCGGCUUUGGUGACUCUAGAUAACCUCGGGCCGAUCGCACGCCCC
Long non-coding RNA from Myotis lucifugus (little brown bat), 299 nucleotides. RefSeq lists it as uncharacterized. The record is from RefSeq and is a predicted model, not a curated record. The transcript is spliced from 3 exons. NCBI's taxonomy places the organism in Eukaryota, Metazoa, Chordata, Mammalia, Chiroptera, Vespertilionidae.